Triticum urartu is the source of this 1456-nucleotide non-coding RNA. The record is from RefSeq and is a predicted model, not a curated record. Lineage: Eukaryota; Viridiplantae; Streptophyta; Magnoliopsida; Poales; Poaceae.
ACAAAUUCACGCCGCCACCAUCGGUUCUCUUUUUGUUUUCCCAGCACGUUGCCCCACCUCCAUCCAUCCUUGAGGCCGCCGGUCGCGCCAUGACGACGGCACGACAAAAUCUCGCCGACGAUUUCCACCACACAAAGCGCUAUGGCCGAUCUGCAGCAUGGCAUCGUUGCAGGAUGGAUCCCAGCCUCAUCCGCUCCUCUAAUUUUGCCAUGUUCUUGAUCUAGGGGACCGUCGUCCCUGAGCAUGGCGUUGUUGUAGGACAGAUCCCAGCCUUACCUACACCUCUAAUUCUACUAUGUUCUUGAUCUAGGAGACCAUCGUCCCAGCCGCAUAGGAGUUGGAGGUGUUGUUGACUAAGUUCCUUGCAUAUACACGGGAGCAUGGGUGAUGGUGGUACUCCUUGGCACAUGGGGUAGUGGUCCUGAAGGCCAGAUGCAAGUCGUUAUGCUCAUAGUCUCACAAACAACGCAAAGCCACACAGGUACUUAUCACCCUGGAGGAGACAUUAUAUAUUUAAUUGGAUUUUUCUGCCAUGUGCCAUGUCUUGGAUUUCACAUAGAUGAACAAGAGUCAAUUCUUGAGCGAGAUGCCCAGCUGCAGGUCGUAUGGUCGAGAGCCGAGAAAGAGGCAGUAGGAUGGUUGGUCCAACCUUAUUGAGAAAAUUCUGAGCAUGUGAUCAUUGUCCAGAUUUCCCUCGCUUAACAAUUAUCACCAUCGUCUGCACUAGGAAAUCUCCAGUAUAUUUGCAUGGAUUGUCUGACAAAAAGUCAACCAGUGAUCUAUGGUUGGAUGUUCGCCGUAGUCACCAGCCGACCAGCGUCGAUCAAUCAACACCCGCAGCUGCAUCGUUCAUACAAGGUCAGGACUCAUAUAGGAAUCCAUGUCGUUACAAUGUCUCCUUAAUUUCUCUCCUCCCCUUCCAGCAUAUAUGGGUGAUGUCCCACACAAAGUUGUUGCUUGCACUAUGUCGUGGCCAAGGGUGAAUACACCACAUGCUGUACAGGCACAUACGAUUGCUGGUUGCAGCCAACUAACAGAUUUGCGAAAGUACAUUCCUACGAAAUGUCAUGUUUCAAAUCCUCGAGGAUUCAGUGGAUGGGUCAUUCAUAUCUGAUUUCAUAAAACACAUUAUUAUCUGAUAAUAUAUAUAUAUAUAUAUAUAUAUAUAUAUUCGAAUGGGAUAUUAAUUAACAAGGCCGUGCAACGCACGGGUUGACGACUAGUAUGUAUUAGUCGUUGUGAUUGAAUGGCCGCUUGUGGAAUAAUAUAAGGGAUGAAUGAAAUUGGUAGUUCAGAGUUCGUUAAAUUUCAGUGUUACCCCAGGUAUGCUUUAGUUGCCUGCUGGAGUUUAAGGGUUCGUUAACCUUUGUGUGGCCCCCUCUUGGCCUGGCUUCGCUGGUCUACGUUAGCAUUUGGCUAUAUACCCCUGCCCAGUAAUGGUCAUGAUCAAGUACGC